This 194-nucleotide unclassified non-coding RNA is filed under the name plant metagenome. Its description in RNAcentral is "partial contains small subunit ribosomal RNA, internal transcribed spacer 1, and 5.8S ribosomal RNA". The record is from RNAcentral.
UUUCCGUAGGUGAACCUGCGGAAGGAUCAUUACAGAGUUCAUGCCUGUAAGAGUAGAUCUCCCACCCUUGGGCAUUGGUACUAUGUUGCUCUGGCGAGUGCAUGCUCGCCAAAUAAUACCAAAACUCUUUUUAUUAAAGUUGUCUGAGUACUGUAUAAUACUUAAAACUUUCAACAACGGAUCUCUUAGUUCUG